This 253-nucleotide ribosomal RNA is filed under the name uncultured bacterium. RNAcentral describes it as "partial 16S ribosomal RNA". It matches the Rfam family "Bacterial small subunit ribosomal RNA", at positions 524 to 776 of the family's 1533-position model. The record is from RNAcentral.
UACGGGGGGGGCAAGCGUUGUUCGGAAUUACUGGGCGUAAAGGGCGCGCAGGCGGCGGUGCUGGCCCGGCGUGAAAGCCCCCGGCUCAACCGGGGAGGGUCGUCGGGGACCGCACCGCUUGAGGGCGGUAGGGGCCGGUGGAAUGCCUGGUGUAGUGGUGAAAUGCGUAGAGAUCAGGCAGAACACCUGGGGCGAAGGCGGCCGGCUGGGCCGACCCUGACGCUGAGGCGCGAAGGCGUGGGGAGCGAACGGG